UACGUAGGGCGCGAGCGUUAUCCGGAAUUAUUGGGCGUAAAGAGCUCGUAGGCGGUUUGUCACGUCUGCUGUGAAAGCCCGGGGCUUAACCCCGGGUGUGCAGUGGGUACGGGCAGACUGGAGUGCAGUAGGGGAGACUGGAAUUCCUGGUGUAGCGGUGAAAUGCGCAGAUAUCAGGAGGAACACCGAUGGCGAAGGCAGGUCUCUGGGCUGUUACUGACGCUGAGGAGCGAAAGCAUGGGGAGCGAACAGG
Molecule: ribosomal RNA, 253 nt
Filed under: uncultured bacterium
Lineage: Bacteria
Description: partial 16S ribosomal RNA
Rfam family: Bacterial small subunit ribosomal RNA
Source: RNAcentral